Long non-coding RNA from Grus americana (Whooping crane), 3277 nucleotides. RefSeq lists it as uncharacterized. The record is from RefSeq and is a predicted model, not a curated record. Lineage: Eukaryota; Metazoa; Chordata; Aves; Gruiformes; Gruidae. The transcript has 3 exons.
UCGGCGAUGGCCGGGACUCCCACAGGUCUGUGUAUUCAAAACAGGGGGUCGUCCUAAGUCUGGGGGCUCGAAACUCUGUUUAAUUUCAUCUGGGGGGCUUCGCACAGAGCCCCGGCACCGGGCGGGAGGCGGGACACGCGUGGGACAGCGCCGCCGAAUCGCCCACCUGUGGCGGGAUACCCCGGCACUGUUUUACCAGCCCCGUGAACUGCAAGAAAAUCAAGCCAGGAAAAAUAAAUACUUGCAAGACUGGCUGGCAUAGGGAUGCUGCUAAUGUUAAAGCCUGACAACACAACUUAAACCAGAAUGACCAGCAGCGAUAAAAACUAAGGCAUAUGUGGUUAUGUUUGGCAGCGCAACGUGCCUUGCAGAAGCGGAUGCAAUAUUUGUGCUGCGGAACUGUUGUAUCGCUUUAAUUGGAGCAGGUGAACAAAACCCAUCCCUCCUCUCAUUCCCACCCGCACCAACCCGCAUGUGACUGCUGCUGCCACGUUCAGGGCUCCAUUCGCUCUCGACAGCAGCAGAACACCGCUGGAGAAAGGGAACGAGUCCAGAUCAGCCAGUCAUCCGAUUCAACACAACCUACCGCUAUAUUGGUUCUUCAUUAAAAAAUAACGUCAGAGGAGUUGUAAUUAUGGCCGUCAAGCAAGCAUAUGCAGAAGUUGAAGUCCAUGACUUAGGAACUUAAGUGAAGGUCAGUGAAUAGAGUUCUAUGAUUUUCAUUAAUGGCUGCAAUACUACAAAGCCAUUACUCAUCAGAAAUUUGGCAGAGUAAUGGUGGUGCCUAAUAUCAUUAGGUAGUCCUAAUGAAUUCUCAUGUAAUCAAAUCUAAUCUCUGGAUGAGCUCAGUAGGCUGAGGCCAGUGAAUGGCUAGAACGUCUGGUGCACUUAGGCAGUGACAUAAGGACCGUCACUAGAGCCAAUGCAGCGAGCUUUGCCCACUGAACACCUUUAGCACUUGACGUAUCUUCACUACUGAGUGCUAAAUAAGAGCAGCAGCGUGUUAGAAAUUGCAUGUCAUGUAAGCCACGGUUUUGGGGGAUUUCCCACAGACAGAGGGUGAGCGGGUCCCCCAGUCACACCCAACCUGACGGGAUGAAGUCCUGUGAAUAUGGGAUACAGAGAAGACCUGGGAAUGUUUUGCUCUAUCACAGUCUGCAAAUCCUCAGUUCCUUGUCCGAAGAGCUGCAAACAUCUCUCCGUGCUUCUCCUACAGCAGUUAUGUCCUUUGUCUCCUACUACUUCUGCAGCCUACUGGUCCUCUGAUCUUGCAGCCUCUCUGGAAGGUAGAAUAUCAAAGGCUACAUUUUCUCUCAUAGUCUAAAUUUGCUUCUGGGUCUUGGUCAGUUCUUCAAAGGCUGUGGAGUUUGUGCUAUUGAAGGCCCUUCAGCUAAAAAUACUGAGCGAGUACUGCAAAGAACUUGCUAGAUUUGAAGGGGUACUGGCAAAGAGAAGAUAAUCAUGAAAAUUUCCAACAGUGGAAAAUGCUUCCAUUUCUCUUUGGGAGCUUGCUUUGGAAUGCUGCUGCAGGCACAGCAAGUUCAUAAGGUUCCUGUAAUCUUAGAGCUUUAGGAAGAGAUGAAACAGUAAGGCAAUCUGGGAAUGAAAAACUUCACACUCACAACUACCAGAGUUAAUUCUCUUGAAGCAACUGUUUCACUGAUAAUUUGAACUACAGCAGGUAGCCCCUGAGACGGGGAAGAAAGCCCUACUCACUCAGUAGCCGACAAGGGGUUGGGCUUAGAUCACCCACACACGCACAAAGAGAGUCUAAGGAAUGAGAACUGUUCAAGAAUUCAGAGAGGAAAUAAUGAAAAAAAACCCCCUACUUGGUAGAUAUCACUUCACUCUUUAGUAGGGUGCUGUAAUAGAAACGUUUAGCCCCAUCAUGUAUGUGAUUGCAGUCACAGGAAAACACAUUGCAAGAGAUUAUUUUUUUUUUCUAUGGGAGAGCUCUUUCUUUUUCUCCUUUUUGAACCUUAUUCUGCUCCAUCACUACCUUAUUUGUAGCAGUUAUGUGAAUUCAACAUUGAUGAAAGAUGUUAAGAUGAAGUUUGAAGUCUUUUAUUUGCCAAGAAUAAGAGCAAUAUUAUCCUGUUUUAUGCUGCUGAAUUUGCAAUUAACUCUUGACUUCUUUGGAGUAUUUUGGAUGGAAAUCACUCCAUCCUGCUGUGUGAGUUUGCGCAUUUUUUUGUCUCUGCUGUUGGUUCAGCUGCACAAUCAGCAGCCCUGGAAGAAAAACCAGAACAGAAGAUAUUCCAUGCAGCCACCAGGACUCUAAGGAUCAAACUGUCUAAUCUUGCUCAUGGCUGCUCUUCAUGAUGAGGUAGAUGAUCACAAGAGCUUCCUGUCAUCAGAGCUGUCCAUGCCAGCACUGCAGCACUAGGAGAUGAAAAGCACUACUACUAGUAGGGACAAAUACUAGGCAACAUCUCAGCUUUUCAGCUAAGUGCUGAAAAGUCUCUCAUUUCUAUAAUAUUUUACUAACAGUAAAAUCAGGGUCUUAAUCCUGAAGCAUGUUGUACUUAGUGCGAGGAAAGUGAGUAAUUAAACCCUGCGUGGAAGAGAUUAGCUGCCUGUGAACAAACGGCUUAGGAGCACAAACAUGAUCAAUGAAUGACACCAGCAAAAGUUCUCUGAAGUCCUCAGGAUUACGAACUGGAAGCUGGAUGUUGGUCAGAAGCAAACUGUAAUUAUUUCACCUAGUGUUCUGAGGGAAUACAGGAACAUAAACCUUCCCAAUGGAAGCACAGAAAUGAUGCAGAAAAGAAUUCUAGGAAAACAAGCAAUGAGAACGAGUGGACAAGAUACACCAGAGAACUGUCCCAGCUCAUUGGAAAUUAGCUGAUUUUCUUGAAUUCCAUCAUGACACAGCCAGAAUCUCAUGGCUUUAAUAAGGGGAAGUUAUCCUGGCAGGCUGUUUUCAGUUCUAGAAGACUGUAGAAUUUGGAUACUGAGAUUUUGCUGUCAUUUCAGUAAAUCGCAUUGGAAAUUUGGAAGGAGAAAAUAAGUUGUAUUUACUUUGCAUUUUCAUAGAGAUUCAAUAAUGCAUGGGGCUAAGAUCACUGUUUCAACAUAAAAGGAACGUUUACAUUUUCUGACCCUGAAGCAGCAAGGGUUGAUUUUUAUAAUUAAAUUUGCAUUCAUCUGCUUUCCUGCACUCUGUUGCUUUGCUGAGUACGUCACAGGGCAAAAGGGACUAAUGAUGGAUAAUUGAAAUCCUUGUGAAGACUCCCAGCCCUGUCAUUUUACACACAGUAAAAUUUCAUACAGCAAA